Molecule: transfer RNA, 72 nt
Filed under: human gut metagenome
Rfam family: tRNA
About the family: Transfer RNA (tRNA) molecules are approximately 80 nucleotides in length. Their secondary structure includes four short double-helical elements and three loops (D, anti-codon, and T loops).
Source: RNAcentral
GAGGCAUAGCUCAGCUGGUUAGAGUGCCUGCUUCACACGCAGGAGGUCGCAGGUUCGAGUCCCGCUGUCUCC